RNAcentral lists this ribosomal RNA (1977 nucleotides) under Neopunana caribbensis. RNAcentral's name for it is "eukaryotic LSU rRNA". It matches the Rfam family "Eukaryotic large subunit ribosomal RNA", at positions 1357 to 2815 of the family's 3401-position model. The record is from RNAcentral. Lineage: Eukaryota; Metazoa; Arthropoda; Insecta; Hemiptera; Delphacidae.
AACGGCACAGUGGGCGAGUCCGUCUCUGGGCGGCUAGCCGUUAAGCCUUGACGAGUAAGAGGGCGCGGCGGUGGCUUAAAAGGGUCUGGGCGUGAGCCCGCCUGGAGCCUCCGUCGGUGCAGAUCUUGGUGGAAGUAGCAAAUACUCUAGCGAGGACCUGGAGGACUGUCGGGGAGAAGGGUUUCUUGUGAACAGCCGUUGCACAAGAGUCAGUCGAUCCUAAGCACUAGGAGAAGUCCGAUGUUGAUUGGCGUUUGAAAUUUAAACUGUACAAUUUCUCUCUCUACGAAUGGUUGGCAACGGGACUAGCGCGAAAAUGGCACUCGUCCUGGAUAGAGGGAAAAUAUCUCUAAAUGUUUUCACGUAAUUUUCUCUACACGAUGAUGGCACAGGGCAGGCCGGAGCAGGGCUCCGCGUGUUCUGGAGAGAUGGUUAGUGAUAUUGUGAGUAAAGAUGCGCCAGUCGUGCGAAAGGGAAUCCGGUUCUUAUUCCGGAACCCGGCUGCGUAACCGCUACUCAGCGGGCUCUCGCCUGCGAGCGCUCGUCGGGGUAACCCAAACUGGCCCGGAGACGCCGGCGGGGGGUCCGGGAAGAGUUGUCUUUUCUCUAUAAGCGUUCGAGCACCCYGGAAUCCUAUAGCAGGGAGAUAGGGUUGGGAACGCGAAUAGCACCGCAGGUGCCAGUGGUGUCCGGAUUUCCCCCCCCGGACCAUGAAAAUCCGGGCUAGGGCUACGCGGAAGUCGCGCCGGUUCGUACCCAUAUCCGCAGCAGGUCUCCAAGGUUAAGAGCCUCUAGUCGAUAGAAUAAUGUAGGUAAGGGAAGUCGGCAAACUCGAUCCGUAACUUCGGAAGAAGGAUUGGCUCUGAGGAUCGGGGCGAGUCGGGCUAGGUCGGGAAGCGGGUCGGCGCCAGUUGCCGGGCCUGGGCGAGGUGAUGACCGAGCGGCGAAAGCUGCCCUGUCGGAACCGAGUUCGGUCCCGCCCCUGGCCUCCCGCGGAUCUUCCAUGCUUGCGGGUCGCAGGCCGACAGUUGCGUCUCCGAGCCCUACCGGAACGGGGCGUGGACGGGCCGGCGCGCCCCACGGCCGCCGUACAACGAUCGGCUCAGAACUGGCACGGACCGGGAGAAUCCGACUGUCUAAUUAAAGCAUAGCAUUGCGAUGGCCCGACAGAGUGUUUACGCAAUGUGAUUUCUGCCCAGUGCUCUGAAUGUCAAUGUGAAGAAAUUCAAGUAAGCGCGGGUAAACGGCGGGAGUAACUAUGACUCUCUUAAGGUAGCCAAAUGCCUCGUCAUCCGAUUAAUGACGUGCAUGAAUGGAUUAACGAGAUUCUCGCUGUCCCUACCUACUAUCUAGCGAAACCACAGCCAAGGGAACGGGCUUGGUAAAAUCAGCGGGGAAAGAAGACCCUGUUGAGCUUGACUCUAGUCUGACACUGUAAGGAGACAUGAGAGGUGUAGCAUAAGUGGGAGACGGGAGCAACGGGCUCCUUGCGGGCCCGCCCGCCGCCGGUGAAAUACCACUACUUUCAUCGUUUCCUUACUUACUCGGUUCGGCGGGAAACGAGCCCGUCGGGGUUCCCACUCGGCGGGCCGAGGUUCUAGCGCUAACCUGCGAGGGUUGCCGGACGCUCGUCUGUACGGGUUCUCGCGGGGAGCUACCGCUCGGCGACCGGCUUGCCGGGGACCGUUUGGAUCAGCCCUCUGUGCGGCCUCACGCGGUCGAUGCUGUACGGCAAACGAUCCCUCCAGAGACCCGAUCCGAGGACACAGUCAGGCGGGGAGUUUGACUGGGGCGGUACAUCUGUCAAACGAUAACGCAGGUGUCCUAAGGCCAGCUCAGCGAGGACAGAAACCUCGCGUAGAGCAAAAGGGCAAAUGCUGGCUUGAUCCCGAUGUACAGUACGCAUAGGGACCGCGAAAGCGAGGCCUGUCGAUCCUUUUGGCGUGAAGAGUAUUCAGCAAGAGGUGUCAGAAAAGU